UACCUUUCUUUAAUAUGCAUGAUGAGAAAGGACCUGGAGCCAUUCACUUUUAAUUACACCCUUUUCAGGCAAACAGUCUGGUGCAAUUAGAGAGCUUCCCACAAGCAGAAGAAAACAGGUGAGUGUCCCAGGGGCAUCUCCUCCUCUUCCAGUGCUGUGGUGUUCUAAGACUGGGGACUUCCAUGCCACCUCUCUGCUGUGCUGCUAGGGAACCGUUGUCCAUGGAGCUCAGUGACUCCCUGCAGAUUCCAGUGCAGCCAUUGACUUGGAGGGGUGGGCAGAUAACAUCUGACCAGUGGAUGGAGAGGAGGCCAUCCCAUAAAUAAAGGAUGAAGUCCCCACUGCAGGAGGGGGAGAAUUGGUGCAGCACAGGAGACUUAACACCUUCCUGCCUGCCUCCAGCCUUCUGGUUCAUCUUGCUGAGAGAUGGGAGCCUCCAGGAGCCCCAGAUGUGGAGCGAGCUCCAAGGAUCGAGGGUGAAGCCACUGUCCAUUGAAGCAGGAAUCCUUGAACUUAAGUAUAUCUUGCAAAAAAAACACCUUGAAUUUGAAUGGCCACAUCAAUCCAUUUAGUCCAAGAAAUAAAACCAUUGGAGAGGUUUAGCUGGAGCUGUA
Molecule: non-coding RNA, 614 nt
Organism: Meleagris gallopavo (turkey)
Lineage: Eukaryota; Metazoa; Chordata; Aves; Galliformes; Phasianidae
Source: RefSeq, a predicted model, not a curated record